GAUGAACGCUAGCGGCAGGCUUAACACAUGCAAGUCGAGGGGCAGCGCGGGAUAGCAAUAUCCUGGCGGCGACCGGCGGAAGGGUGCGUAACGCGUGAGCGACAUGCCCGUUGCCCGGGGACAACCGGUGGAAACGCCGACUAAUCCCCGAUGGGAUAUUGUGCCGCAUGGCACGAUAUUGAAAGUUACGGCGGCGACGGAUUGGCUCGCGUCCGAUUAGCUUGUUGGCGGGGUAACGGCCCACCAAGGCUGCGAUCGGUAGGGGUUCUGAGAGGAAGGCCUCCCACAAUGGGACUGAGACACGGCCCAUACUCCUACGGGAGGCAGCAGUGAGGAAUAUUGGUCAAUGGGCGGAAGCCUGAACCAGCCAUGCCGCGUGCGGGAAGGAGGCCCUAUGGGCUGUGAACCGCUUUUGCCUGGGGGCAAUAAGGGCGUCGCGCACGUCCGAUGAGAGUACCAGGCGAAUAAGCAUCGGCUAACUCCGUG
This 486-nucleotide ribosomal RNA is filed under the name uncultured bacterium. RNAcentral describes it as "partial 16S ribosomal RNA". It matches the Rfam family "Bacterial small subunit ribosomal RNA", at positions 28 to 507 of the family's 1533-position model. The record is from RNAcentral.